Molecule: non-coding RNA, 108 nt
Filed under: Desulfuromonadales bacterium
Lineage: Bacteria; Pseudomonadati; Thermodesulfobacteriota; Desulfuromonadia; Desulfuromonadales
Description: TPP sequence
Rfam family: TPP riboswitch aptamer (THI element)
About the family: Vitamin B(1) in its active form thiamin pyrophosphate (TPP) is an essential coenzyme that is synthesised by coupling of pyrimidine and thiazole moieties in bacteria. The previously detected thiamin-regulatory element, thi box was extended, resulting in a new, highly conserved RNA secondary structure, the THI element, which is widely distributed in eubacteria and also occurs in some archaea.
Source: RNAcentral
UCUUGGCCCUAGGGGAGUCUUCGUUACUGAGAGUUCUGCUUGACUGUAGAACGACCCUUUGAACCUGAUCCGGCUGAUACCGGCGUAGGAAAGUGGCUGUCGAUGACC